Molecule: non-coding RNA, 48 nt
Filed under: Schistosoma haematobium
Lineage: Eukaryota; Metazoa; Platyhelminthes; Trematoda; Strigeidida; Schistosomatidae
Source: RNAcentral
AUCCAAUUGACGAGUCCCAAUCAGGACGAAUUGGCGCGCGUCCUGAAU